UCCCAGCCCUGAUGGGAACGGCGUCCUUUUGUGGUGGGGUUCACCACAAAAGAUAUAGUGGACAGCAGGAUUAGCU
This 76-nucleotide small RNA is filed under the name Flavobacterium circumlabens. RNAcentral's name for it is "Flavo-1 RNA". It matches the Rfam family "Flavo-1 RNA". Lineage: Bacteria; Pseudomonadati; Bacteroidota; Flavobacteriia; Flavobacteriales; Flavobacteriaceae. The record is from RNAcentral.